Molecule: unclassified non-coding RNA, 372 nt
Filed under: uncultured Actinomycetes bacterium
Lineage: Bacteria; Bacillati; Actinomycetota; Actinomycetes
Description: uncultured actinobacterium contains 16S-23S intergenic spacer region
Source: RNAcentral
UCCGGUUUGGCACCGGCAGUCUCCCUAGAGUUCCCGGCAUCACCCGCUGGCAACUAGGAACAGGGGUUGCGCUCGUUGCGCCACUUAAGGCAACACCUCACGGCACGAGCUGGCGACAGCCAUGCACCACCUGUGCAGGCUCCGAAGAGCGCCGGCUUUCGCCGGUUUCACCCUGCAUGUCAAGCCCAGGUAAGGUUCUUCGCGUCGCGUCGAAUUAAGCCACAUGCUCCGCCUCUUGUGCGGGCCCCCGUCAAUUCCUUUGAGUUUUAAUCUUGCGACCGUACUCCCCAGGCGGGAUGCUUAACGCGUUAGCUGCGCCACUGAGGGGUAACCCCCCAACGGCUAGCAUCCAUCGUUUACGGCGUGGACUAC